This 2221-nucleotide ribosomal RNA is filed under the name Staphylococcus aureus. RNAcentral's name for it is "partial 23S ribosomal RNA". It matches the Rfam family "Bacterial large subunit ribosomal RNA", at positions 703 to 2925 of the family's 2925-position model. The record is from RNAcentral. Lineage: Bacteria; Bacillati; Bacillota; Bacilli; Caryophanales; Staphylococcaceae.
UUGGUCGUAGACCCGAAACCAGGUGAUCUACCCUUGGUCAGGUUGAAGUUCAGGUAACACUGAAUGGAGGACCGAACCGACUUACGUUGAAAAGUGAGCGGAUGAACUGAGGGUAGCGGAGAAAUUCCAAUCGAACCUGGAGAUAGCUGGUUCUCUCCGAAAUAGCUUUAGGGCUAGCCUCAAGUGAUGAUUAUUGGAGGUAGAGCACUGUUUGGACGAGGGGCCCCUCUCGGGUUACCGAAUUCAGACAAACUCCGAAUGCCAAUUAAUUUAACUUGGGAGUCAGAACAUGGGUGAUAAGGUCCGUGUUCGAAAGGGAAACAGCCCAGACCACCAGCUAAGGUCCCAAAAUAUAUGUUAAGUGGAAAAGGAUGUGGCGUUGCCCAGACAACUAGGAUGUUGGCUUAGAAGCAGCCAUCAUUUAAAGAGUGCGUAAUAGCUCACUAGUCGAGUGACACUGCGCCGAAAAUGUACCGGGGCUAAACAUAUUACCGAAGCUGUGGAUUGUCCUUUGGACAAUGGUAGGAGAGCGUUCUAAGGGCGUUGAAGCAUGAUCGUAAGGACAUGUGGAGCGCUUAGAAGUGAGAAUGCCGGUGUGAGUAGCGAAAGACGGGUGAGAAUCCCGUCCACCGAUUGACUAAGGUUUCCAGAGGAAGGCUCGUCCGCUCUGGGUUAGUCGGGUCCUAAGCUGAGGCCGACAGGCGUAGGCGAUGGAUAACAGGUUGAUAUUCCUGUACCACCUAUAAUCGUUUUAAUCGAUGGGGGGACGCAGUAGGAUAGGCGAAGCGUGCGAUUGGAUUGCACGUCUAAGCAGUAAGGCUGAGUAUUAGGCAAAUCCGGUACUCGUUAAGGCUGAGCUGUGAUGGGGAGAAGACAUUGUGUCUUCGAGUCGUUGAUUUCACACUGCCGAGAAAAGCCUCUAGAUAGAAAAUAGGUGCCCGUACCGCAAACCGACACAGGUAGUCAAGAUGAGAAUUCUAAGGUGAGCGAGCGAACUCUCGUUAAGGAACUCGGCAAAAUGACCCCGUAACUUCGGGAGAAGGGGUGCUCUUUAGGGUUAACGCCCAGAAGAGCCGCAGUGAAUAGGCCCAAGCGACUGUUUAUCAAAAACACAGGUCUCUGCUAAACCGUAAGGUGAUGUAUAGGGGCUGACGCCUGCCCGGUGCUGGAAGGUUAAGAGGAGUGGUUAGCUUCUGCGAAGCUACGAAUCGAAGCCCCAGUAAACGGCGGCCGUAACUAUAACGGUCCUAAGGUAGCGAAAUUCCUUGUCGGGUAAGUUCCGACCCGCACGAAAGGCGUAACGAUUUGGGCACUGUCUCAACGAGAGACUCGGUGAAAUCAUAGUACCUGUGAAGAUGCAGGUUACCCGCGACAGGACGGAAAGACCCCGUGGAGCUUUACUGUAGCCUGAUAUUGAAAUUCGGCACAGCUUGUACAGGAUAGGUAGGAGCCUUUGAAACGUGAGCGCUAGCUUACGUGGAGGCGCUGGUGGGAUACUACCCUAGCUGUGUUGGCUUUCUAACCCGCACCACUUAUCGUGGUGGGAGACAGUGUCAGGCGGGCAGUUUGACUGGGGCGGUCGCCUCCUAAAAGGUAACGGAGGCGCUCAAAGGUUCCCUCAGAAUGGUUGGAAAUCAUUCAUAGAGUGUAAAGGCAUAAGGGAGCUUGACUGCGAGACCUACAAGUCGAGCAGGGUCGAAAGACGGACUUAGUGAUCCGGUGGUUCCGCAUGGAAGGGCCAUCGCUCAACGGAUAAAAGCUACCCCGGGGAUAACAGGCUUAUCUCCCCCAAGAGUUCACAUCGACGGGGAGGUUUGGCACCUCGAUGUCGGCUCAUCGCAUCCUGGGGCUGUAGUCGGUCCCAAGGGUUGGGCUGUUCGCCCAUUAAAGCGGUACGCGAGCUGGGUUCAGAACGUCGUGAGACAGUUCGGUCCCUAUCCGUCGUGGGCGUAGGAAAUUUGAGAGGAGCUGUCCUUAGUACGAGAGGACCGGGAUGGACAUACCUCUGGUGUACCAGUUGUCGUGCCAACGGCAUAGCUGGGUAGCUAUGUGUGGACGGGAUAAGUGCUGAAAGCAUCUAAGCAUGAAGCCCCCCUCAAGAUGAGAUUUCCCAACUUCGGUUAUAAGAUUCCUCAAAGAUGAUGAGGUUAAUAGGUUCGAGGUGGAAGCAUGGUGACAUGUGGAGCUGACGAAUACUAAUCGAUCGAAGACUUAAUCAAAA